AAGGAACUGGCUAGGCCCAGGAUGCGCAGGGGUACGAUGAAACCUGACACCCGGCAGUCCUUGGUCCAGCAGGGCCAGGUGGGGGCAACCAAUGGCGGCGGCAGGGUGUGUGUGUGUGCUUGAUGUAUGGCCAUAUGAGGAAAGAAGGAAUGCUGACAUAAUACUUGUUUGCCCGGAAAUUAUAAAAACCCUGGGAACAAAGAAAGGGGGUCUUGGUCUCCCAGCACUGUGUUGCACAGGAGGCCAAGGCCCCAGCAUGCUGACCUACAAGUACAGUCCCUUUGUUCUUCGCAUUUUGAUCUGUCACAGGGUGAUUGCAGAGGAGAAAUCCAGAUGCUGGGAGAGGGAAGGGACGGGAGCAGGCAGAAGCUCCUGCUGUGAUGCCGAGCGGCUGGAACAAGAACAAAACCUCCGUGCCCGGUCUUCACAGGAGGAAGGAGCCGACGUCCCCCAGCUAACCUGGCUGCUCCACCGCCCCACGCCCACGGUGCUUGUCCUCAUGCUGCCCUGCAGAGCCGCUUCUCAUGGCACACGGCUGACAGCCUCCUGAUACCUGCCAGUCAUCGCUAGCCACACACGCCAGGGUUUGCUGCCCCCAGGGGAAACCCAGGUUUGGUGACCUGGAGGCCCUGGUGCUGAGGAACAGGCCCGGUUCCCGGGCUGCCCUGCCUUUAAGGCCUUCUCUGGGGCAAGCUGGCAUCUUCCUGGCGCCCCCUGGUUGGCUGCCUCUGGUCCUGAGCAGAGAGGAGAAGGCAGUUUGCGUGCAGCAUUGCCUCCGUGGGAACACAGCUAUAUCAGGAGAGCCCCUCCAGUGAGGGGACCUCCACAGCUGCCACAUCCCUGGCUUCCGAUGUGGGGUCGGUGUCAGGGCCCGAGCAGAAGGGUGAGCAUGGGCUGAGCCCACCCUGGCCCACGGCAGCAGCUGGGAAAUGGAGCAGACCUGCUGCACGUGGGCGACACACACGGGGGUUCUGCCCGGAGCAGCCUGCUCACACCUCACCCCAUCCGCAUCGCCGUGUUGCAGAUGCUGAGAGCUUAGGGACUUGCAGGUGCCACGUGGAAUCUUCUCAUCACACCCCCCUGCCUCCCGUGGCACCCACGGGUGCAGACUGAUCAAACAUCAGCCUGGGGAGCAGCCUGUGGGCCUCCUGGUGCCGAGACAGCAGGGACAGUACCGUCCCCCGGAGUCCCCUUUCUCCAGGCGCUGGGCUUCCCCGGAAGCAGGCCCGGGCCUACUCGGGACCUGGUACACCCCGUGCUCGUACUCUUUCUUCUGGGGCCGGCACGGCAGCGCAGCAGGUUAAGCCACUGCCUGUGGCGCCGGCAUCCUGUAUGAGCUCCAGUCUGAGUCCCGGCUGCUCCACUUCCCAUCCAGCUUCCCAAUGGGAGACCCGGAUGGAGUUCCAGGCUUCUGGCUUUGGCCUGGCCGAGCCUUGUUACAACCAUUUAAGGGGUGAACCAGCAGAUGGAAACUCUCUCCCUCUGUGUCUCUCCCUCUGCCUCUCUCUCUGUAACUCUGCCUUUCAAAUAAAUAAAUAAAUAAAUAUUUAACA
This is a long non-coding RNA of Oryctolagus cuniculus (rabbit), 1553 nucleotides long. The record is from Ensembl. Lineage: Eukaryota; Metazoa; Chordata; Mammalia; Lagomorpha; Leporidae.